RNAcentral lists this non-coding RNA (148 nucleotides) under Homo sapiens (human). Lineage: Eukaryota; Metazoa; Chordata; Mammalia; Primates; Hominidae. The record is from Rfam by way of RNAcentral.
GCUGGGCGCGGUGGUGUGCGCCUGUAAUCCCAGCUACUUGGGAGGCUGAGGCAGGAGAAUCACUUGAACCCAGGAGGCGGAGGUUGCAGUGAGCCAAGAUCAUGCCACUGCACUCCGGCCUGGGUGACAGAGCGAGACUCUGUUUUUU